UACGGAGGGGGCUAGCGUUGUUCGGAAUUACUGGGCGUAAAGCGCACGUAGGCGGCUUUGUAGGUUAGAGGUGAAAGCCCAGGGCUUAACCCUGGAACUGCCUUUAAGACUGCAGAGCUUGAAUCGCGGAGAGGUGAGUGGAAUUCCGAGUGUAGAGGUGAAAUUCGUAGAUAUUCGGAAGAACACCAGUGGCGAAGGCGGCUCACUGGACCGGCAUUGACGCUGAGGUGCGAAAGCGUGGGGAGCAAACAGG
Molecule: ribosomal RNA, 253 nt
Filed under: uncultured bacterium
Lineage: Bacteria
Description: partial 16S ribosomal RNA
Rfam family: Bacterial small subunit ribosomal RNA
Source: RNAcentral